Molecule: ribosomal RNA, 1629 nt
Filed under: Triticum aestivum (bread wheat)
Lineage: Eukaryota; Viridiplantae; Streptophyta; Magnoliopsida; Poales; Poaceae
Description: partial small subunit ribosomal RNA
Source: RNAcentral
AUGUCACUGGUGCUAUGUGUAACUAGUUGGAUGAAGGGUUGCUCUCCAGCAGCCGAUGAGGAAAGGGCGGCGAUGGUGCCUCUGCCUUCUCCAGCUGGGGAUGAGAUCGUCGACAAAGAUCUGGCGGCGAUGCACACCAAGCGGUGCUGGACGGCGACGGCAAGGGGCGGGGUUGGAGUGGCCAUGGCCAUCUUUGUGCUUCUUGCUUUGCUAUUGCAGACCAAAUGGAUCAACCUCGACGCAGCUUACUACACGUUCUCGCCGGCGGGCACUGGGUUCAGUCAGCAUGGACGCGGCCACUCAUACACGGCGCCCCUGAUACCCAUACCAUUGAGCUGCAGCAACGACACCGACACGUCGUCAUCGACAACAGCGCCACCGCCAGCACCGUCCUCAUCAUCUAACAAACGGCGGUACUAUCCCGGAGUACCGCCGCCUUUGUGCCCGGACUACUUCCGCCACAUCCACACGGACAUGGAGCCGUGGCGCGCGACGGGGAUCGCGCGGGACGCGGUGGAGCGCGCCCAGCCCCACGCCCAGUUCCGGCUGGUGGUUCUGUCCGGCCGCGCCUACGUGGAGAAGUACCGCGACUCGUUCCAGACCCGGGACGUCUUCACGCAGUGGGGCAUCCUGCAGCUGCUGGCCCGCUACCCGGGCCGCGUCCCGGACGUGGACAUCAUGUUCAGCACCCUCGACUCGCCCAGGGUGCUCGCCGCCGACUACCCGUCGCGGUCCGCCGCGCCGCCGCUCUUCCGGUACUGCAAGGAGGAGUCGCGGGAGCUGGCCAUCCUCUUCCCCGACUGGUCCUUCUGGGGCUGGCCGGAGGUGAACGUCCGCCCGUGGGCGCCGCUCAUGGAGGAGCUCGUCCGGGAGAACGCGCGCCUCCCGUGGCCGGAGAGGGAGCCCUACGCGUUCUGGAAGGGCAACCCCGACGUGUCGGAGGUGCGCCAGGACCUGUUCCGGUGCAACAACGACACCGCCGCCGGCAAGGAGUGGAACGCGCGGCUGUUCAAGCAGGACUGGGACGCCGCCGGCCGGAACGGGUUCCGGGACUCGGACCUGACCAAGCAGUGCCGGUACAGGUACAAGAUCUACGUGCAGGGGCACACGUGGUCGGUCAGCGAGAAGUACAUCCUCGCGUGCGACUCGCCGAUGCUCGCCAUCGACACGCCCUUCAGGGACUUCUUCUCGCGGGGGCUCGUCGCCGGCAAGCACUACUGGCUCAUCGACCCGGCCAACAAGUGCCGCGCCGUCAAGUUCGCCGUCGACUGGGGCAACGCCCACCCGGCGCAGGCGCGGCGCAUGGGCGAGGAGGGCAGUGGGUUCACGAGGGAGGAGAUGGGCAUGGACUACGUGUACGAGUACAUGCUCAAUGUGUUGAGGCAGUACAGUGCCCUGCUCCGGUACACGCCCACCGUGCCGGAGAGGGCUGUGGAGGUCAGCCUCGAGUCCAUGGCCUGCCCCAGGCGCGGGCGCGAGAGGGAGUUCAUGAUGGAGUCCAGGGAGAAGUGCGUGGCCGUGGACGAGCCAUGCACGCUGCCGCCGCCAUUCACGGUCGAUCAAGUCAGGGAAAUGGCCGUGAGGGACGAGCAGGUGCGAAGCAAACUACUACAGAUGGUGCGACAUUAG